RNAcentral lists this non-coding RNA (30 nucleotides) under Rattus norvegicus (Norway rat). Lineage: Eukaryota; Metazoa; Chordata; Mammalia; Rodentia; Muridae. The record is from RNAcentral.
UUUAAAUGUUUCCCCUUUAUUAAAGUUUCC